GGGUGAGUAACACGUAUGCAAUCCACCUGUAACAGGGGGAUAACCCGGAGAAAUCCGGACUAAUACCCCAUAAUAUGGGUUCUCCGCAUGGAGGGUCCAUUAAAGAGAGCAAUUUUGGUUACAGACGAGCAUGCGCUCCAUUAGCCAGUUGGCGGGGUAACGGCCCACCAAAGCGACGAUGGAUAGGGGUUCUGAGAGGAAGGUCCCCCACAUUGGAACUGAGACACGGUCCAAACUCCUACGGGAGGCAGCAGUGAGGAAUAUUGGUCAAUGGUCGGCAGACUGAACCAGCCAAGUCGCGUGAGGGAAGACGGCCCUACGGGUUGUAAACCUCUUUUGUCGGAGAGUAAAGUACGCUACGUGUAGCGUAUUGCAAGUAUCCGAAGAAAAAGCAUCGGCUAACUCCGUGCCAGCAGCCGCGGUAAUACGGAGGAU
Molecule: ribosomal RNA, 435 nt
Filed under: uncultured bacterium
Lineage: Bacteria
Description: bacterial SSU rRNA
Rfam family: Bacterial small subunit ribosomal RNA
Source: RNAcentral